GAUAGAGAUGGCUGCACUUAAGCCAGUGUGACCCCAAACUCAGUAAGCUGAUGGAGGUUGUCUGUGCUGCUUGUUGGCAUUCACGUUGGACUUUCUUCCCUGCAGUUUCAGGGCCUGUCUGGCGGGAACACUGGUCUACUGUCCCCCGAGAAGGGGAAGUUCCAGCCAACAGUGUCGUCCCUGGGCUCUUGAGUCUGCUCUUGGCGCCAUAGAACAGGUGUAGCGCUCGUGUGUAUUAGUAAAAGCACACAGACUCGUCGGGGGUAAAUGUAAAACAGGUGUCAAUAAGGUAACUAUGAUGCCGCACAGUGUAAAAAAAAAAUGCUGUGGUCACCACACCGCCCUUUAAUAAAAACGGACUUUUAACUGUAUCAGUUUUUCUUGCUCGUGCAGUAAAUCUUAUGUUUACAGAAAUUAGCCUGAGCAUUUUAUAAAAGUCAGACAGCCAAGAAAUAUAAUUUCCUCAACAGCGUUUGUCUUGCCCUCUUGCAGAUGGUGUAAAAUCAGGUGUGUGAAGAAUAAAAAAAAAAGCAACCUGAGCCGCCGGGAACAGCGUUUCAGAUUUAUGCUUUGCAGAUGAUUCUGCUGAGAUGAAUGCAUUGAUUGCUUCUCUGUUGCUUUCCGCAGAUAAUGUCCACACCGCCCGGGAGGCACUGGGUCACAAUCCUGUCAGCAGACAUUCUUCUAGAAAUGCCGUAAUUAUGACCAAAUUAAAAAAAAAAUUGUCAUGAAGCUCAUUGACACAAAUUUCACAUUUGUAAUUUGCUUUUAUUUGUCUAAGGCCUAAGUGUAGAGUUGAGAGUUUGUAAAGUGCUUGCGCUGACAUUAGCAGGAUGAAGUGGGCAAGAGUGGCUUGCGUUAAGUUUAACGGACAAGACAAUAACGCUUAGGCCUUAGGGAAUUAUGGAGGCGUUUGUUUUCAGACAGUGUCGCUGGGACAGCGGGCUGGUCUGUAGCAAUUGGAAGGAGGCCCUUCCUGCUGCCUCCCCAGAAUUGGGUCUUGCCCUCCCCCAGGCUGUCUGUGAGUCUGUGUGGAAUUCCAGUGCCUUACAACUGUGACCGGAUCGUGGGUUCAUGUGUGUCAGAACAUGGAGGUGGGGUGCUGGUGCAGCAGCUGUGCAGCCAGCCACAUCCUCGCAGCAGCAGGACAGAACCGUGUCUGCAGUCCAGUGGGUUGGGUCGUGGCUGGCCACUGACUUGGUUCGCUGGUGUGGGCAGGAAGGGGAGGUUCUUCCCGGCUUUGACCGUCCUGCGGUCUUUACCUUUUGCUAUGUCCUUUCAGGUUUGUUUACUUUAAACACCGCAUGUGUGUGAGUGUUUUGCCUACACGUAUGUAUGUAUGUUCACACUGUGCACUCCUGGUGCCUGCAGACCUCCUAAGAGGGCCUCAGAUCUUCUGGGACUACAGUUACAGAUGACUGUGAGCCACCGUGUGAGUGUUGGGGGACUGAACCUGACUCCUCUUGCAGGAGUAGCCAAUGCUCUUAUCCACUGAGCGCCUCUUCAGCCCUCGCUGUGAACACGCUAGCAUCCCCUCCUUGCCUCGUAUUGCCUGUCUGAGGGAGGGUAGUAUAGGACUGGCUGGCUCAUUCAUGGAAUCCAGCCAAACUGAGGUUAUGGGAUGGCUUGUCACACUAGGUGCCAGACCUACAUCUCCAGCUCCAGUAUCAAUGUCUUCAGACCCUCCUUUUUCCAUCACUGUGGUCAUUUUCUAGCAGGGAUCUUGUUUUCCAAGGACAACCUGUUGGAUGACUUUCCUUAAGCUGGUUGCACCAUACCUUCCUGAGAAAGGGAUCCUUACCAGGUGACAUAAACAAAGCCACACUCAUCUGGGAGUAGCCUGCGUAUCACCACUGAACAAUAAAAGGUCAUUCAGUUGUACUGUUACAAUUAGUCCUAUCAGACAAACAAACCACGAUGAUUGAGUCUGUUUGCUUCUGUGCCAGAAGGGCAGGGCUGUGUCUUCUUCCAAGCUGGUCAUCAAACUGUCCUCGAAUGUACCACCUUCCACCAUCACAGCCCUGUGUGUGGGAGUGCCCAGGUGCCUGGAACGGCACCCAGUUGGCAGAUGGGACGGGGGCCACAUGAGUAGGCCGUCUGGCUCAGUGAGUGUCACAAGGCACUGUAUGCCAAGUACUGAGGGGCUAGCCUCUUCCAGCCAGGCUGUGGAAGGAUGAAACUGUAUGGAGCACGUAGUUCAUGGCUUCAUCUCUGUCCACGAGGCUGCCCACAUUUGCUGGGGAGGCGGGAUGUCCACAUUUUACAGAGGUGAAUUUUAUACAGUUGUUCUGUUUACUGGGGUCUGCAUGGGGCUCUGGUAAGCUGAGAAGGUGUGCCUGUAGAGGUGGGUUGGAGCCUGUCCUUCAAGGACUGGAAGGAUGGAUGGGUGAAGGCAGGGAGGAUGCGAGGACCCUGAGAGUGGCUCAGGGCGCUGGGCUACAGGUGGAGCCUUGCGGGACACAGCUUCCCACUGUCAUGAGCUUUGGGUGACUGAGAGCAGACUCCUGUCACUUGCUUGUAUCUCUCCUCAGCAGCACCACCCAUUUCAAAUGCCAGAUCAGAGUUGAGGACACCAGGAACUGCCCCAGUCAUCCUCAGGACCAUGCUGCUGCUGCUGCCGCCACCUCCUCCAUGAGCGAGCGUGGGCGAGCGCCUCUGACACAGGCAGUUACAGCAGCAGCUCUGAUUGCUUCUCCCCUGCAGGCUCCCCACGUAUUUACUCAGCCUGAAUGCCGCAGUGCUGUGCCCAGUGCCUUCCUACUGUUUCUUCCUGGGCAUAUUUCAUCUUCUCAGAGAUUCCUAAAGCUGCCCAGGGUCCUGCUCUGACCCUGCUGUGCUCAUGAAACCCCGUAAGAAGCCUUGCUGUUUAGAGAUUAGAAUUGUGGUCUUCAAUGUCCUUUGGUUGUCCUCUCCGUGCAGGGUCAUAUGGUCCUUAGAGGCCACUGGAAGUUAAUGAUGUGUGGAAGCUGGGUUGUGUUACUUGUAUUCAGGCUGUUCUUCCUACAGUUCCUGCCCCACCCACCUGCCCACAUCUGUCCACAUCUGUCCACAUCUGUCCACAUCCUCCCACUUCUAGAAUCUUCUUACCUACUCCGUAGUAACCAAUUCACAAGUCACUUACGUUACAUAACAGACCCUGGAGUGCAGCAGUGCUCAAGGCUGAUGUUUCCCUGUCUUUUCUGAGCUUACAGUGUGGUGGGAGGGAGGCACAGAUAGGAAAGGAUGCAUAUAGAAUCCUAAGUUGAGGUGAAGGCCACUGAGGAAGGAAGAUCCUAGUUGCUCAGUGGGAUAAGGGUCAGUGGCAAGAACAGCAAGGCAGUAGGGAAGUCAUUGGAUUUGUCCAUGGGAGAGGUCGCUGCCGGGGUGGACGCAGCACAGGACAGUGGAUGGGCAGUGGUGGGAAAGUGGCAAGUGCGGAGCUUGGAUAUCCUGAGAAUGGCGUGAGCAGGAGCUGGUGCCAUACACGUGUGCGGGGAAGGCAGCUACGGGUCUGGGGUGUGGCUCAGUCCCAGCGCUGACAUGGAGGGGAAGGAGGGGAAGUGCAGCUAGGCAUGGUGGCAGGUGCCUGAAGCCCCAGAGUUAGCGAGGUGGAGGCAGGAGGACUGGAGUUCAAGGUCAGCCUUACCUACACUCAUAGUUUGAGGCCAGCCUGAGUUACACAAGACCUUGUGCCCCCAAACCAUGUAAAUAAAGAAAUGAAUGUAAAGUAAAUAAAGUGGGU
Molecule: long non-coding RNA, 3721 nt
Filed under: Mus musculus (house mouse)
Lineage: Eukaryota; Metazoa; Chordata; Mammalia; Rodentia; Muridae
Description: long non-coding RNA chr13:55739828-55743549
Source: RNAcentral